UCCUACGGGGCGCAGCAGUGGGGAAUAUUGGACAAUGGGGGGAACCCUGAUCCAGCGACGCCGCGUGAGUGAAGAAGUAUUUCGGUAUGUAAAGCUCUAUCAGCAGGGAAGAAAGAAAUGACGGUACCUGACUAAGAAGCCCCGGCUAACUACGUGCCAGCAGCCGCGGCAAUACGUAGGGAGCGAGCGUUAUCCGGAAUUAUUGGGUGUAAAGGGUGCGUAGACGGGAAAACAAGUUAGUUGUGAAAUCCCUCGGCUUAACUGAGGAACUGCAACUAAAACUAUUUUUCUUGAGUGCAGGAGAG
Molecule: ribosomal RNA, 305 nt
Filed under: uncultured bacterium
Lineage: Bacteria
Description: bacterial SSU rRNA
Rfam family: Bacterial small subunit ribosomal RNA
Source: RNAcentral